GGCUCACUGCAACCUCCGUCUCCUGGGUUCAAGCAAUUCUCUUGCCUCAGCCUCCAGAGUAGCUGGGAUUACAGGUGCCCACCACCACACCCGGCUAAUUUUUUUAUAUUUUUAGUAGACACGGGGUUUCACCAUGUUGGCCAGGCCGGUCUUGAACUUGUGACGUCAGGUGAUGCACCCGCCUUGGCCUCCCAAAGUGCUGGGAUUACAGGUGGGUGCCUGGCCAAGGGGCUGAUAUUUCUUAAGGGCUUUCCCCAAGAAGGAAAAAGCCAAACCUACUCAGGCAAAUCUUGUUUAUUUAUUCUUCUAGGUCCAGAUUUUGAACAAAUCUCGCUAGAGAUUGAACAGAGCUGCGCCUGGAUCCCGCCACAGUGAGGAGACCUGAAGACCAGAGAAAACACAG
This 403-nucleotide long non-coding RNA is filed under the name Homo sapiens (human). RNAcentral's name for it is "non-protein coding LINC00665:17". Lineage: Eukaryota; Metazoa; Chordata; Mammalia; Primates; Hominidae. The record is from RNAcentral.